AAAUUCUCGGGAUGGCCUAAUUACAGGGGAAGUGCUGCCGAAUUUUUCUGUAGAAUUUAAUGAUUAGCUGGAAUGAAUGGCUAAAUGCCCUUAUCUAAUGUUUGGUGUUCGUUGGCGUAUUGUAGACCUUGGGGAGCCCGAGGCGUAGAUUGGAUAUUUACUUAAGAUUGGCUAUCUUGAGUGCGUUCGAGGUACAGACGCACAGUUCGGUGAUCCCCCAGUUUAGGACAUCCCCAUCAGCUGUUUGGAGUGCUCUUCUCAUUUCAGAGCAUACACUUUUGGUAUAUACUUUUGUUCGUUAUGUAUGUAUAUAUAUUUGUUCCGGGUACGGCGGGGCCCUGUUCCGCCAUAUGAUUCGUUUGGUCUGUUUAGAGGUCUGUAGACUUAUUUGUGGGUGUGUGUGCCUACUUCUGUACAGUUGUGUCCAUAUGAUCUCCUUCGUUAUGGCAGCCUUGUCGGCAUGCAUUUUGUA
Long non-coding RNA from Lycium barbarum (goji berry), 472 nucleotides. RefSeq lists it as uncharacterized. The record is from RefSeq and is a predicted model, not a curated record. NCBI's taxonomy places the organism in Eukaryota, Viridiplantae, Streptophyta, Magnoliopsida, Solanales, Solanaceae. The transcript is spliced from 2 exons.